Molecule: ribosomal RNA, 351 nt
Filed under: bacterium A17-7
Lineage: Bacteria
Description: bacterial SSU rRNA
Rfam family: Bacterial small subunit ribosomal RNA
Source: RNAcentral
UUGGGGGAUAACGUUCCGAAAGGAACGCUGAUACCGCAUACGUCCUACUGUAGAAAGCGGGGGACCUUCCGGCCUUGCGCUAUCAUAUGAACCUAGGUCGGAUUAGCUAGUUGGAGAGGUAAUGGCUCACCAAGGCGACGAUCCCUAACUGGUCUGAAAGGAUGAUCCGUCCCCCUGGAACUGAGACACGGGCCAGACUCCUACCGGAGGCAGCAAUGCGGAAUAUUGCACGAUGGGCGAAAGCCUGAUCCCUCCAUGCCGCGUGUGUGAAUAACGUCUUCCGAUUGUGAAGCUCUUUAGAUUGGAAGGAACGGCAUUAUCCUAGUACGUUACCGUUUUGACGUUACCAAC